CGUGUAGGCGGCUGGGUAAGUCAGAUGUGAAAGCCCGGGGCUUAACCUCGGAAGUGCAUUUGAAACUAAGGGACUUGAGUAUGGGAGAGGGAAGUGGAAUUCCUGGUGUAGCGGUGAAAUGCGUAGAUAUCAGGAGGAACACCGGUGGCGAAGGCGACUUCCUGGACCAAUACUGACGCUGAGGCGCGAAGGCGUAGGGAGCAAACAGGAUUAGAUACCCUGGUAGUCC
This 229-nucleotide ribosomal RNA is filed under the name uncultured bacterium. Its description in RNAcentral is "partial 16S ribosomal RNA". It matches the Rfam family "Bacterial small subunit ribosomal RNA", at positions 568 to 796 of the family's 1533-position model. The record is from RNAcentral.